This 253-nucleotide ribosomal RNA is filed under the name uncultured bacterium. RNAcentral's name for it is "partial 16S ribosomal RNA". It matches the Rfam family "Bacterial small subunit ribosomal RNA", at positions 524 to 776 of the family's 1533-position model. The record is from RNAcentral.
UACGUAGGGGGCAAGCGUUGUCCGGAUUUAUUGGGCGUAAAGCGCACGUAGGCGGACUAUUAAGUCAGGGGUGAAAUCCCGGGGCUCAACCCCGGAACUGCCUUUGAUACUGGUAGUCUCGAGUCCGGAAGAGGUGAGUGGAAUUCCGAGUGUAGAGGUGAAAUUCGUAGAUAUUCGGAGGAACACCAGUGGCGAAGGCGGCUCACUGGUCCGGUACUGACGCUGAGGUGCGAAAGCGUGGGGAGCAAACAGG